Molecule: transfer RNA, 68 nt
Filed under: Tragelaphus strepsiceros (greater kudu)
Lineage: Eukaryota; Metazoa; Chordata; Mammalia; Artiodactyla; Bovidae
Description: tRNA-Asp
Rfam family: tRNA
About the family: Transfer RNA (tRNA) molecules are approximately 80 nucleotides in length. Their secondary structure includes four short double-helical elements and three loops (D, anti-codon, and T loops).
Source: RNAcentral
GAGAUGUUAGUAAAAUAUUACGUAACUUUGUCAAGGUUAAAUUACAGGUGAAAACCCUGUACAUCUCA